GGGCGAAUGGCGGAACUGGUAGACGCGCUAGGUUCAGGGUCUAGUGCCUAAACAGCGUGGGGGUUCAAAUCCCCCUUCGCCCACCA
This 86-nucleotide transfer RNA is filed under the name Actinomycetota bacterium. Its description in RNAcentral is "Actinobacteria bacterium (freshwater metagenome) tRNA-Leu". It matches the Rfam family "tRNA". Rfam says of the family: Transfer RNA (tRNA) molecules are approximately 80 nucleotides in length. Their secondary structure includes four short double-helical elements and three loops (D, anti-codon, and T loops). Lineage: Bacteria; Bacillati; Actinomycetota. The record is from RNAcentral.